GAGUUUGAUCAUGGCUCAGGAUGAACGCUGGCGGCGUGCCUAAUACAUGCAAGUCGAGCGAACGGACGAGAAGCUUGCUUCUCUGAUGUUAGCGGCGGACGGGUGAGUAACACGUGGAUAACCCUACCUAUAAGACUGGGAUAACUUCGGGAAACCGGAGCGUAAUACCGGGAUAAUAUUUUGAACCGCGAUGGUUCAAAAGUGAAAGACGGUCUUGCUGUCACUUAUAGAUGGAUCCG
This 239-nucleotide ribosomal RNA is filed under the name uncultured microorganism. RNAcentral's name for it is "partial 16S ribosomal RNA". It matches the Rfam family "Bacterial small subunit ribosomal RNA", at positions 9 to 233 of the family's 1533-position model. The record is from RNAcentral.